RNAcentral lists this ribosomal RNA (501 nucleotides) under uncultured Glomus. Its description in RNAcentral is "SSU rRNA". It matches the Rfam family "Eukaryotic small subunit ribosomal RNA", at positions 569 to 1074 of the family's 1831-position model. The record is from RNAcentral. Lineage: Eukaryota; Fungi; Glomeromycota; Glomeromycetes; Glomerales; Glomeraceae.
AGCAGCCGCGGUAAUUCCAGCUCCAAUAGCGUAUAUUAAAGUUGUUGCAGUUAAAAAGCUCGUAGUUGAAUUUCGGGAUCAAGUCGUCGGUCGUGCUCAGGUACGUACUGGCGUCAUUGAUUUCUCCCUUCUGACGAACCAUGAUGUCAUUAAUUUGGUGUUAUGGGAAAUCAGGACUGUUACUUUGAAAAAAUUAGAGUGUUUAAAGCAGGCUCACGCUUGAAUACAUUAGCAUGGAAUAAUGAAAUAGGACGUUCGAUCCUAUUUUGUUGGUUUUAGGAUCAACGUAAUGAUUAAUAGGGAUAGUUGGGGGCAUUAGUAUUCAAUUGUCAGAGGUGAAAUUCUUGGAUUUAUUGAAGACUAACUACUGCGAAAGCAUUUGCCAAGGAUGUUUUCAUUAAUCAAGAACGAAAGUUAGGGGAUCGAAGACGAUCAGAUACCGUCGUAGUCUUAACCAUAAACUAUGCCGACUAGGGAUCGGAUGAUGUUAAUUUUUAAUGA